RNAcentral lists this ribosomal RNA (298 nucleotides) under Alteromonas macleodii. RNAcentral describes it as "partial 16S rRNA". It matches the Rfam family "Bacterial small subunit ribosomal RNA", at positions 32 to 334 of the family's 1533-position model. Lineage: Bacteria; Pseudomonadati; Pseudomonadota; Gammaproteobacteria; Alteromonadales; Alteromonadaceae. The record is from RNAcentral.
AACGCUGGCGGCAGGCCUAACACAUGCAAGUCGAACGGAAACAUGUCUAGCUUGCUAGAUGAUGUCGAGUGGCGGACGGGUGAGUAAUGCUUGGGAACUUGCCUUUGCGAGGGGGAUAACAGUUGGAAACGACUGCUAAUACCGCAUAAUGUCUUCGGACCAAACGGGGCUUCGGCUCCGGCGCAAAGAGAGGCCCAAGUGAGAUUAGCUAGUUGGUGAGGUAAAGGCUCACCAAGGCAACGAUCUCUAGCUGUNCUGAGAGGAAGAUCAGCCACACUGGGACUGAGACACGGCCCAG